UGGGGAAUUGUUCGCAAUGGGCGCAAGCCUGACGACGCAACGCCGCGUGGAGGACGAAGAUCUUCGGGUCGUAAACUCCUGUCGAGCGGGAAGAAUGGGUGGUGGGUCAAUACCCCAUCAUCGUGACGGUACCGCUAAAGGAAGCCCCGGCUAACUCCGUGCCAGCAGCCGCGGUAAUACGGGGGGGGCAAGCGUUGUUCGGAAUUACUGGGCGUAAAGGGCUCGUAGGCGGCCAACUAAGUCGGAUGUGAAAUCCCCAGGCUCAACCUGGGAAUGGCAUCCGAUACUGGAUGGCUUGAAUCCGGGAGAGGGAUGCAGAAUUCCAGGUGUAGCGGUGAAAUGCGUAGAUAUCUGGAGGAAUACCGGUGGCGAAGGCGGCAUCCUGGACCGGCAUUGACGCUGAGGAGCGAAAGCUAGGGGAGCAAACGG
This 429-nucleotide ribosomal RNA is filed under the name uncultured bacterium. Its description in RNAcentral is "bacterial SSU rRNA". It matches the Rfam family "Bacterial small subunit ribosomal RNA", at positions 355 to 775 of the family's 1533-position model. The record is from RNAcentral.